UACGUAGGGUGCGAGCGUUGUCCGGAAUUAUUGGGCGUAAAGGGCUCGUAGGCGGUCUGUCGCGUCGGGAGUGAAAACUCAGGGCUUAACCCUGAGCCUGCUUCCGAUACGGGCAGACUAGAGGUAUGCAGGGGAGAGCGGAAUUCCUGGUGUAGCGGUGGAAUGCGCAGAUAUCAGGAGGAACACCGGUGGCGAAGGCGGUUCUCUGGGCAUUACCUGACGCUGAGGAGCGAAAGUGUGGGGAGCGAACAGG
Molecule: ribosomal RNA, 253 nt
Filed under: uncultured bacterium
Lineage: Bacteria
Description: partial 16S ribosomal RNA
Rfam family: Bacterial small subunit ribosomal RNA
Source: RNAcentral